GGCCCCAUCGUCUAGCGGUUAGGACAUCGGCCUCUCACGCCGGUAACGCGAGUUCGAGUCUCGCUGGGGUCACCA
RNAcentral lists this transfer RNA (75 nucleotides) under Myxococcales bacterium. RNAcentral's name for it is "tRNA-Glu". It matches the Rfam family "tRNA". Rfam says of the family: Transfer RNA (tRNA) molecules are approximately 80 nucleotides in length. Their secondary structure includes four short double-helical elements and three loops (D, anti-codon, and T loops). RNAcentral also lists the same sequence under 1 other name. Lineage: Bacteria; Pseudomonadati; Myxococcota; Myxococcia; Myxococcales. The record is from RNAcentral.